Molecule: ribosomal RNA, 892 nt
Filed under: uncultured bacterium
Lineage: Bacteria
Description: bacterial SSU rRNA
Rfam family: Bacterial small subunit ribosomal RNA
Source: RNAcentral
AGUCGACGAUGAAUCUUCUAGCUUGCUAGAAGUGGAUUAGUGGCGCACGGGUGAGUAAUGCAUAGGUUAUGUGCCCUUUAGUCUGGGAUAGCCACUGGAAACGGUGAUUAAUACUGGAUACUCCCUACGGGGGAAAGUUUUUCGCUAAAGGAUCAGCCUAUGUCCUAUCAGCUUGUUGGUGAGGUAAUGGCUCACCAAGGCUAUGACGGGUAUCCGGCCUGAGAGGGUGAUCGGACACACUGGAACUGAGACACGGUCCAGACUCCUACGGGAGGCAGCAGCAGGGAAUAUUGCUCAAUGGGGGAAACCCUGAAGCAGCAACGCCGCGUGGAGGAUGAAGGUUUUAGGAUUGUAAACUCCUUUUGUUAGAGAAGAUUAUGACGGUAUCUAACGAAUAAGCACCGGCUAACUCCGUGCCAGCAGCCGCGGUAAUACGGAGGGUGCAAGCGUUACUCGGAAUCACUGGGCGUAAAGAGUGCGUAGGCGGGGUAAUAAGUCAGAUGUGAAAUCCUGUAGCUUAACUACAGAACUGCAUUUGAAACUGUUACUCUGGAGUGUGGGAGAGGUAGGUGGAAUUCUUGGUGUAGGGGUAAAAUCCGUAGAGAUCAAGAGGAAUACUCAUUGCGAAGGCGACCUGCUGGAACAUUACUGACGCUGAUGCACGAAAGCGUGGGGAGCAAACAGGAUUAGAUACCCUGGUAGUCCACGCCCUAAACGAUGGAUGCUAGUUGUUGCCUUGCUUGUCAGGGCAGUAAUGCAGCUAACGCAUUAAGCAUCCCGCCUGGGGAGUACGGUUGCAAGAUUAAAACUCAAAGGAAUAGACGGGGACCCGCACAAGCGGUGGAGCAUGUGGUUUAAUUCGAAGAUACGCGAAGAACCUUACCUAGGCUUG